Molecule: long non-coding RNA, 528 nt
Filed under: Ananas comosus (pineapple)
Lineage: Eukaryota; Viridiplantae; Streptophyta; Magnoliopsida; Poales; Bromeliaceae
Description: long non-coding RNA (ACOM_LNC004926)
Source: RNAcentral
AUGGGGGAGAGGUAGGGGGAAGGGGGAGAAGGAGAGGGUGUUCUUGUGAGAUGGACAGGUUGGGUGUGGGUUCGGAUUCGGGUUUGGAUUAAAGAUGUAUUGGAUUCAAAAUAAAUGUAUUUAGUAUAAAAUUAUUGGUUUGUAAAAAUAGUAUAGUUUAAAAUAAUUGCCACUAAAGUACAAUAAGAUAAUAAAUAAUAAUGGUCGUUUGAUAAUCGUCGUUAUUAAAUUGCCAUUAAAAUUCAAUUUUGCUGUAGUGGCGCGCAAUGACAUGAAAUAGUUUCAUAAUAAGUUUUAAUUAAUAAUUAUUUUGUUUUAAAAAAUAGUUUAAUAAUUAAUUUAAUAUAAAUAAAAUAAUUUAAAUUGGUAUAUGUGGGACAUAAAUUUUUGUAAGAACAUAUUAAUUAGUAAUCAAAUUAUUUUAUACAAACAUAUGUAAAAAAAAUUAGAGAAAAAAUAUAAAAAUAAUUUAAAAAAUUUUAAAUAAAUUAAAAUUCUUGUAAAUUUAAUAGAUAUAUUAAAUUUUUU